Long non-coding RNA from Dreissena polymorpha, 476 nucleotides. RefSeq lists it as uncharacterized. The record is from RefSeq and is a predicted model, not a curated record. Lineage: Eukaryota; Metazoa; Mollusca; Bivalvia; Myida; Dreissenidae. The transcript is spliced from 2 exons.
UAUUCUUGCUUUAAAAAAAUUGCCAAGUUAACAAAAAAGACAUAGAUUCUACUGGUGUGUGUGUCAACUUGCUUGAUUUGUCUUUUCAGCAAUACAUUAUUUCACCCAGCUGUUAAAGAGAAGUUUAUUUUCCUCUCUUUGUACUUUAUAAGGGUAUGUGUUAUUUUAGGGAAGUCAGGUUAUACUUAGUCUUGAACUGUAAUAAUCAAUCAAAAGAUCUACUUGUAAAUUAUUUUAUUAUUAAUUUAAUUGACCCAUCGUACCUAUCGAGUGUUUAUUUAAUACUUGCCUGUGGUUUGUAGAGAAUAUCUGUGAUUUAAAAAGUAUCAGUCACUUUUCCAAACAGUGAAAAGUAACUGUGAAAGCUGUCUAAACAUUUUACUAUGUGACUGUGAAAUUACAUCGUUUUUAACGUCAUGAUGUUAUUAUUCCGGUGAAAUCUAAAGUUAACCCCCUUUAAAAUGGUGGAAAAUCAU